CAUCGAUGAAGAACGCAGCGAAAUGCGAUAAGUAAUGUGAAUUGCAGAAUUCAGUGAAUCAUCGAAUCUUUGAACGCACAUUGCGCCCCCUGGUAUUCCGGGGGGCAUGCCUGUUCGAGCGUCAUUUCAACCCUCAGGCCCAGCCUGGUGUUGGGGCGGC
RNAcentral lists this ribosomal RNA (160 nucleotides) under Sordariomycetes sp. 6302. Its description in RNAcentral is "5.8S ribosomal RNA". The stretch from base 1 to 124 matches the Rfam family "5.8S ribosomal RNA", at positions 31 to 154 of the family's 154-position model. Rfam says of the family: 5.8S ribosomal RNA (5.8S rRNA) is a component of the large subunit of the eukaryotic ribosome. The record is from RNAcentral. Lineage: Eukaryota; Fungi; Ascomycota; Sordariomycetes.